UACGUAGGGUGCAAGCGUUGUCCGGAAUUAUUGGGCGUAAAGAGCUCGUAGGCGGCCUGUCGCGUCGGAUGUGAAAAUCCAAGGCUCAACCUUGGACCUGCAUUCGAUACGGGCAGGCUAGAGUUCGGUAGGGGAGACUGGAAUUCCUGGUGUAGCGGUGAAAUGCGCAGAUAUCAGGAGGAACACCGGUGGCGAAGGCAGGUCACUGGGCCGCAACUGACGCUGAGGAGCGAAAGCAUGGGGAGCGAACAGG
RNAcentral lists this ribosomal RNA (253 nucleotides) under uncultured bacterium. RNAcentral's name for it is "partial 16S ribosomal RNA". It matches the Rfam family "Bacterial small subunit ribosomal RNA", at positions 524 to 776 of the family's 1533-position model. The record is from RNAcentral.